AAAACUCAUUCAUUAUCUUUAUUUCCGUAAGAUGAACUGGAUUCGAGGUUUUCACAUGAGAAACAAACAACCUUCCAUACAUCAGAGUCUUCCAUAGGUGAAUUCUGCAUUUUCGUGUCCAUUUGUUUAUUUAUUUUCCUUUUGUUAUGUUGUUUGCUCCUGACAGACAUUGCUAUGGUACUUUGAAUUAGCAUGGCCAUAGAAGCACCUUACGAUCACCGUCGUGUUCUCCUUCGCCUCCCCAAACACCUCCGCCUGCAGAUCCGAUGAGCACGUGCAGUUAGCUUUACAUCGCAGGGACCUCAUGGUCGGGUGAGCUUGCUUUGGUCUCUACAAUGAUGUAUGUCCAUGCUACUGCAAGCGCCAACAGCACCAUCUCAAUCUUGGUCACCUGUUAUCCGAACCAGUGUCACAAGACGUCGUUAUAGACAAGGAAUUUUAUUUUCGGAUGCAGUUCGCACAGCCAUCACAAUUCAAGUUAUGUAUUGGAAGUUGCAGUCAUUCUUUGAUACCAAAUGAAGAUGACCAAAACUACAGAUGAUAACUCCAAAUGGAUUGAUAUUUGCAUAGAUGUUCAUCACUGCUGCUUCAUAUGCACCUUGAGGUGUAUGUUUUAUACUGCAGAAUUUUGGCACGAAUGAUUGGGUUUAGCUGAAAUGCAUGUCUUAACAGAUUAGCUGCACCUUUCUAUAAUGCAUACAUUUUGGCACAAUCUCCGCUAUAUCUUCCAAUCUAGGUACUUUUCUAUUUUACUGACCCCCUUGGGUCACAAUUUCAGUACAAGAUGUAACUGAACAAAAGCAAUUCUUGCCUUUAAAUUUUGUGAAGUCUUUUGAUUCAGGUUUUGUAAUUUCAGUUCAGCUGCUUCACUACAACUGCAGUUGAUUCUUUGUUUUGGGCUAUCAGCAUUUCCCAUUAUUGACCUUAUCCCAUUAUGGCCCUUUCCUUUU
Molecule: long non-coding RNA, 950 nt
Organism: Panicum virgatum (switchgrass)
Lineage: Eukaryota; Viridiplantae; Streptophyta; Magnoliopsida; Poales; Poaceae
Exons: 3
Source: RefSeq, a predicted model, not a curated record